Molecule: long non-coding RNA, 396 nt
Organism: Ficedula albicollis (Collared flycatcher)
Lineage: Eukaryota; Metazoa; Chordata; Aves; Passeriformes; Muscicapidae
Exons: 3
Source: RefSeq, a predicted model, not a curated record
CCUACCUUAAGAGGCCAAACACCACUGAAUCAUUUGUGCUGGAGUGGACCUCAUGCUGAAAAGUGUCUUUCAGGCCCCAGGUCACGGGGAAAGGUCAUUGGGUGCCUAUUGCUUAGAAAGGCUCCUGACAAAGCAGGUAUGACAACCAGAUAAUGACUGCUUUGAAGAACAUAAGAAAUUUCCCUUUGCUUCAAUCCUUUGGAAUCACAGAAGACAUACAGAUAAAGAAAAGAACAUGCUGCCAAGUAAAUGUCACCUGUUUCUGAGUAUGUGCCAGGGGUUUGGCGAUGAGUUAAGAGCCAGAAGAGCUGCACUGCCCUGAACUAUUUCCAGCAGAGCCCUAGAGGCUGAUAGCUCCAGAAUGAUUGGAGGAUGGCUCUUCCUUGCCAAACUAUC